This is a long non-coding RNA of Calypte anna (Anna's hummingbird), 135 nucleotides long. RefSeq lists it as uncharacterized. Lineage: Eukaryota; Metazoa; Chordata; Aves; Apodiformes; Trochilidae. The transcript has 3 exons. The record is from RefSeq and is a predicted model, not a curated record.
GGCCGCUUCGGGCUGGUAGAUUCAAGUCCAGGCCAUUCGGACUAUUGGGACCCCAUUCAGAGAUCCGGGAAAACGGCCGCUUCGGGCUGGUAGAUUCAAGUCCCGACCGUUCGGACUUUUGGGACCCCAUUGAGC